Long non-coding RNA from Malaclemys terrapin pileata, 1618 nucleotides. RefSeq lists it as uncharacterized. Lineage: Eukaryota; Metazoa; Chordata; Testudines; Emydidae. The record is from RefSeq and is a predicted model, not a curated record. The transcript has 10 exons.
UGCAGCGGGUGUCAAUUUAGCAGGCCUAGUGAAGAUCGGCAAAAUCGAUGGCAGAGCGGUCUCUGGUUGACUCUGGUACUCCAGCUCCCCAAGAACAGUAAGGCUCAUCUUUUGGAGGUGUUGUAAAGGUUUCCUUUGAGAAUGAGGACUGAUAGGUCAACUAUGGAAUUAUCAUUUCUUAAAAGUGUUCACUCAUGUGACAAUGAGCUGCCUGUCUUCCACUACUGCGGUGUUCUACUCCUCUGGGAUUCUGAAGCAACUGAGAGACAGUUGAGGCUGCUCCACUCUUUAUGCCUUCGGGUCGGGACAGGGAGUGAAGAUAUCUGGUAUCCAUACAAAAUCAAAAUAAUGCUGGCCAAAAUAAUUUGAUGAUAAUCUGAUCUUGCAUACAUGGGGUGCUUGAGAAUCAGGAGUGGAAUCCAUGUGGACAUCACAGCUCUGAGAACUACAGUUACUGUAAGAUUUCACUUUGAAAUCCUACUCAUUGGUGCUGUCCUGUACGUGCAGACAACAAGCAUAACCAAGCCUUAGUGUGGUGAGUAACAAUAUAGCUGUAACCAGCAUGGAGGCAAGAGAGGAAUGUCUCGAUUAAAGAGUGGCCAGAGCGUACUGGUGAAUCUUGCCUUCUGAAUUACUUGGGUACACAAAAUUUGGCUGGACAUAUCAUGAGAAGAGGGAUCCUUCUGAGAUUUUUGGCACUGCUUGCUGUCGUGAGUUAUUUUGGCACUAGUUUGUGGUUCCAGGCAGAACCUGUCCAGAGGUGUCAAGAUAUAACUGAUAUGAAAAUUCUUCUUCUUCCUGUGGCCAACUCGUUUGCUAAAACACUUAAGAAAUCUGAUAAAACACCUGUUGUUCAGGACCUCUGCCUCAUUCAGUGCACCAGAUGGACCUGCUCACAGGAUGAAUCAGGGAUGUGUGGUUUUCAUGGUCUCUGGAAUUUUGCAGUACUUUUGCCAUAGUCCACUCCCAAUCACCAUGGUAUUUAGAUUCUAAAUUAAAACCCUCUUCUGAGCCUUGUAAUGAUGCUGACUUCCUGUUUGAAUGCUGACACCAAUGAUAGGACAGGCUUUUUCUCCAGCAUUUUACAUCAUCACCUUUGAGGCAAUAUUGGACACAGUCAAAGGAAGCAGUAGGACAUGUACAGAGCUUUCAAUUCAAGGUCAUUCUGAACCCUCUAACCCGUAAAAAAUAAAAAUAGAGAGAACUGCCUUCCAGGCCUGGCUUUUUCCACUGCUCUGGAUUCUGUCCUUAAUGAAAUCUUAAAAUAAUGAGGCAUAACUUUUAUUAUAAACAUUAUUAAAAAGCAGUUUCUAAAACUUCAGGGCUAUGCAGCUGGUUUAUAGUAGGUUAUAUGGUAUAAAUAAUUUUCAAUAAUAACAUAAAUAUAAUAUUAAGUUUAUGUGGAUCUAUGUAUUCUGAACUAAAAUAGAGGAUUACUGAGAACUUUGCCCACAUGACCUUGGAACUAUGACCUUUCCUUUUCUGUGAUUUUUUUCCCCCUUCUGGUUUAUUUUUAGUCUGAAGUGAGCUAUGGUCCAGGAAGCCAGCAUAGCUUGGGAUAUUGUGUCCAACAUAGGUAAAAAAACAACAACCCCAUGGCAGUAUGAAAUGUGGGACA